Long non-coding RNA from Branchiostoma belcheri (Belcher's lancelet), 751 nucleotides. RefSeq lists it as uncharacterized. NCBI's taxonomy places the organism in Eukaryota, Metazoa, Chordata, Leptocardii, Amphioxiformes, Branchiostomatidae. The record is from RefSeq and is a predicted model, not a curated record. The transcript has 3 exons.
UCAGCAUGGGAGGACAAAUUCUCCUACGCCCCGUCACGAUUCGGAUACCGGAAACAGUAUCAUUCUAUGCUUAAAACACUUCUCUCCAAAACGUCAAAUACAGAGUUAGGACCAUUUAAACUGCUUCCCGAAGGUACUGACAAUAGAUCAUACCCGAUAGUUCCAUUCCCGGCAUUUAUUAAAGCGGUUGGAACGAACAGGACGGAGUGGCAAGAUCCUCACUGGCAGCUGAUUUCAGACCUAUGUGCUCCUUGCCAAAUUGACUACGACUUCAUCAUGCACACGGAGACAAUAGCGGAAGACUACCAGUUGUUCUUCAGGAAGGCUGGAAUCGUUGGGAGAGAAGACCUGAUCCCGGAAGUACGACAGAGGAAAGGUGAUAAACUAUUUUGGGAUUUCUAUAAAGAAAUACCAAUGGAAGAUUUGUGGCAAAUCAAACAAAAGUUUAAAGCGGACUAUGAUAUGUUUGGAUAUAACUUUUAUGAUGAUAUUGCAAGACUUUUUGGCCGUUAAUUCAUAUUAAAACACGUUUUGUUUAAUAAUUGUGGAUUUAUAACCUAGUGUACUAUAAUAUCUACCAACCAUAAUAGAAGUUUUACAAAUUGUAAAAACAUUUCUAACAAACGUCCAAAACUGUUAUUUCUAGAUGCAAAUCCUGUGAGCACUAAAGGGCAAAACUGAAUUGGUAUUAUUUGAAUUUAGGCCAUGUUGAUUUGAUUAUAUGGAUGACAUCCGCGCGCGCAUGAAUUUU